CCUUGAAGUUCAUGGAGGACAGGUCCAUUGAUGGUUUUAUCAGUCAGAAACACAAUCCCUUGCUCUGGGUGUGCCUAAGUGGAUAGAUAGGUU
Molecule: non-coding RNA, 93 nt
Organism: Chelonoidis abingdonii (Abingdon island giant tortoise)
Lineage: Eukaryota; Metazoa; Chordata; Testudines; Testudinidae
Source: RefSeq, a predicted model, not a curated record